RNAcentral lists this ribosomal RNA (403 nucleotides) under uncultured bacterium. Its description in RNAcentral is "bacterial SSU rRNA". It matches the Rfam family "Bacterial small subunit ribosomal RNA", at positions 28 to 422 of the family's 1533-position model. The record is from RNAcentral.
GACGAACGCUGGCGGCGUGCUUAACACAUGCAAGUCGAGCGGUAAGGCCCUUUCGGGGUACGACGAGCGGCGAACGGGUAGGAGUAACACGUGGGUGGACCUCGCCCUCCAGCUCUGGGAGUAAGCCUCGGGAAACCGGGGUACGUAAUACCGGAUAUGACUCCAUGACGCAUGUUGUGGGGUGGAAAGCCUUGUGCGGCUGAGGAUGGGCCCGCGGCCUAUCAGCUUGUUGGUGGGGUGAUGGCCUACCAAGGCGACGACGGGUAGCCGGCCUGAGAGGGCGACCGGCCACACUGGGACUGAGACACGGCCCAGACUCCUACGGGAGGCAGCAGUGGGGAAUCUUGCGCAAUGGGCGAAAGCCUGACGCAGCGACGCCGCGUGAGGGAUGACGGCCUGGUGU